Molecule: ribosomal RNA, 492 nt
Filed under: uncultured bacterium
Lineage: Bacteria
Description: partial 16S ribosomal RNA
Rfam family: Bacterial small subunit ribosomal RNA
Source: RNAcentral
AGUGAACGCUGGCGGUAGGCCUAACACAUGCAAGUCGAACGGCAGCACAGUAAGAGCUUGCUCUUACGGGUGGCGAGUGGCGGACGGGUGAGGAAUACAUCGGAAUCUACUUUUUCGUGGGGGAUAACGUAGGGAAACUUACGCUAAUACCGCAUACGACCUACGGGUGAAAGCAGGGGAUCUUCGGACCUUGCGCGAUUGAAUGAGCCGAUGUCGGAUUAGCUAGUUGGCGGGGUAAAGGCCCACCAAGGCGACGAUCCGUAGCUGGUCUGAGAGGAUGAUCAGCCACACUGGAACUGAGACACGGUCAAGACUCCUACGGGAGGCAGCAGUGGGGAAUAUUGGACAAUGGGCGCAAGCCUGAUCCAGCCAUACCGCGUGGGUGAAGAAGGCCUUCGGGUUGUAAAGCCCUUUUGUUGGGAAAGAAAAGCAGCAGGUUAAUACCCCGCUGUUCUGACGGUACCCAAAGAAGAAGCACCGGCUAACUUCGUG